CAAGAGUCUCAUUGGCUGCUGUCCUGUCCGCAUUGGGCUGUCUGAAAAAAGAAGAAGCAAUAACUGGCCCUGCGGUUUCAAGGCGUCCCAGGGUUAGAUGAUGAAAGGAGAUAAGACGAGACUGUUUCAAGGCGCUCCAUACUCGGACCCCAUUCGCCCUCGAGCCAUAUGAGUCAAGCGUGAAUCAAAGGGAAUACGGCGGGCAGGAAGAGGGGAAGUUAAACAUUAUAUAUAUUUUUAAAUGAGGUUAUAUUUCGGAUAAAUGCGAUGCAACGAUGGUUUAGCAGUAAACGUUUUGAGACAACCGCCGCGAAUCACCAGAUGAUUGGAAUACAGCGAGUAGAUAUAGCGUCUCAUAGAGAAAGAAGUGAAACAGCGAGCCCGGAGUCCCUCCUCUCGGAGUUUCAAUGGAGAAAAUGUAAAUGGACCCUUUCACCAAUAGGCCUAUUUAACAACUAGAAAUGUUGUGGCUGCUUGAGGUUUGUCGUAUAUAGUGUUAAACAAAUAGCUGUGCUUGCGAAAAUACCGCUUGUUAUCUUCUGUAGAAAUAAUAUUUGGAUGAUCACCACGUAGUUAACAUUAAAAAGUAGUUUGCAAUAGACUUCAAUAGAUCAGUCGCUGUAAAAUGAGAGUAGUAUCUAUAGCCAAAGCCUACACUCCGCGAUCAUUGAAAUCUGUUGGGAUAAUUUGUCUGAAAGAAAACCAGUAGCCUAUGCGAGGGAAAGGCAUAGUCUGCAACUGUAGACUCUGAAAAUGUAAAAUAUAUACGAUUGUGUAAAAUUGUGUGACUACUGCAAUAAAAUGUGUUUGUACAUACUGUAAAAUAAUCAAACAGGAGCAAAUAUGUUGUGUUUACGUGAGAUAGCUUUAUUUACACGAGACAAUAUCUACGCUAUAAAUAGAACAAAAUGUACAUUACAUUUAAUGAUGCACUGUAUCUUACUGGAAGAAUAUACAUUUCCAUAAUUAAGAGUCAUCUAAUUUAUCAAAGAGACAUUUAGAUGUUUUGUAUAGUUAUGGAGGAAUCAUAUACAUAGAAU
RNAcentral lists this long non-coding RNA (1040 nucleotides) under Salmo salar (Atlantic salmon). Its description in RNAcentral is "lncRNA (ENSSSAG00000119448.1)". The record is from RNAcentral. Lineage: Eukaryota; Metazoa; Chordata; Actinopteri; Salmoniformes; Salmonidae.